Molecule: ribosomal RNA, 253 nt
Filed under: uncultured bacterium
Lineage: Bacteria
Description: partial 16S ribosomal RNA
Rfam family: Bacterial small subunit ribosomal RNA
Source: RNAcentral
GACGAACCGAGCAAACGUUAUUCGGCCUCACUGGGCUUAAAGGGCGCGUAGGCGGGUCAGCAAGUCAGGGGUGAAAGCCCCCAGCUCAACUGGGGAAGUGCCUUUGAUACUGUUGAUCUCGAGGGAGGUAGGGGCGUGCGGAACUUCCGGUGGAGCGGUGAAAUGCGUAGAUAUCGGAAGGAACACCGGUGGCGAAAGCGGCGCGCUGGACCUCUUCUGACGCUGAGGCGCGAAAGCCAGGGGAGCAAACGGG